GAUAUUAUCAGGUAUUCUGCCUAUGAUUUUACUGAGAUAAAGAAAUCUCAUAUCUAAGUGUUGUCUUCCUAAGUCUUCUCCCUGUUAUACAUUCCUCCCUUUUUAAAACCAUAAAGCUUUUAGGGAUCAUGAACUUGGCACUCUAAUUUUCAUAAGUUUGCCCAAGUCCUUGAUCAAAAUUCUCCAGUUAUCAUGAAUGAUCCUUUGUAUUCUAUCAUCACAUUAAAGUGUAAAGUAGUUGAGGGCAAGAUUAUCUUUUGGUUCUUUUUAUAUCUCCAGCAAAAUUAGCACUGUGUCUGGCACAUAGUAGGUACUUACUAAACAUUUAUUAAUUGAUUGAUUGACUUCUGAUUUUCCUGGUAUAGGGAAAUCCUUGAUGAGAAAAAUAAGGCAAACAUUAUACACCAGUCUAUCCAUGCUAUUCUCUCUGGUCUCCAGGAAAGGAUGAGAAAGGAUCUUGGAGAGGUGAAGAAGAUCUCUCUCUCAUAAAUUUUCAAAGUUUAUUUCCAAUAGGAAGUCUUUCCUAAGUGUGGUACUGUCGGCCAGUAAGCACAGCCACUAUGAUAAGAACUGGAGAUACAAAGGUUCAAAAGGUGAUCCCUGUCUUCAGGGAGCUCACAGUCUAAAAAGGAAGACAACAUGCAAGUAACUAUGUACAAAUUUAAGCCAGAUUCCCAAUAAGAUCAGGGGUGAAACAAAGAUACCCACUAUUACCACUAAUAUUCAAUAUUGUCCUAGAAAUUUUAGCUUUAGGAACAAGAGAUAAAAAAGAAAUUGAAGGAAUUAGAGUAGAAAACGAGAAAACAAAAUUAUCAUUGCAAAUGAUAUGAUGAUAUACUUAGGGAAUCCUAGAGAAUCAAUUAAAAAACUACAAGAAACAAUUAACAACUUUAGCAAAGUUGCAGGAUAGAAAAUAAAUCCACACAAAAUCAUUGGCAUUUCUAUAUGUUACCAACAACAGCAAGAGAUUAGAAAGAACAAUUCUAUUUAAAAUAAAUGAAAAUAAUGUAAAAUAUUUGGGAGUCUAUCUGCCAAGACAAAUUUACUAAAUGAAUACAAUUAUAAAACACUUUUCACACAAAGAAAGUUAGAUCUUAAGAACUGGAAGAAUAUCAAGUGUUCAUGAGCAGACUGAGCUAAUAUAAUAAAAAUUACAAUACCACCUAAAUCAAUCUACUUAUUUAUUUUUUUAAAUAGCUUUUUAUUGACAGAACCCAGGCCAGGGUAAUUUUUUACAGCAUUAUCCCUUGCACUCACUUCUGUUCCAAUUUUUCCCCUCCCUCCCUCCACCCUCUCCCCGAGAUGGAAAGCAGUCCUAUACAUGUUAAAUAGGUUACAGUAGAUCUUGGAUAUAAUAUAUGUGUGCAGAACCGAACAGUUCUCUUGUUGCUCAGGGAGAAUUGGAUUCAGAAGGUAUAAAUAACCUGAGAAGAAGAACAAAAAUGCAAGCAGUUUACAUUCAUUUCCCAAUGUUCUUUCUUUGGGUGUAGCUUCUUCUGUCCAUCCUUGAUCAAUUGAAACGAAGUUAGAUCUUCUCUUUGUUGAAGAAAUCCACUUCCAUCAGAAUACAUCCUCAUACAGUAUCAUUGUUGAGGUAUAUAAUGAUCUCCUGGUUCUGCUCAUUUCACUUAGCAUCAGUUCAUUUAAGCCUCUCCAAACCUCUUUGUAUUCAUCCUGCUGGUCAUUUCUUACAGAACAAUAAUAUUCCAUAACAUUCAUAUACCACAAUUUACUCAACCAUUCUCCAAUUGAUGGGCAUCCAUUCAUUUUCCAGCUUCUGGCCACUACAAAGAGAUGCCACAAACAUUUUGGCACAUACAGGUCCCUUUCCCUUUUUUAGUAUCUCUUUGGGGUAUAAGCCCAAUAGAAACACUGCUGGAUGAAAGGGUAUGCACAGUUUGAUAACUUUUUGGGCAGAGUUUCAAAUUGCUCUCCAGAAUGGCUGGAUGUGUUCACAAUUCCACCAACAAUGUAUCAGUGUCCCUGUUUUCCCACAUCCCCUCCAACAUUCUGCGUUAUCUUUCCCUGUCAUUUUGGCCAAUCUGACAGGUGUGUAGUGGUAUCUCAGAGUUGUCUUAAUUUGCAUUUCUCUGAUCAAUAGUGAUUUGGAACACUCUUUCAUAUGAGUGGUAAUAGUUUCAAUUUCAUCAUCUGAAAAUUGUCUGUUCAUAUCCUUUGACCAUUUAUCAAUUGGAGAAUGGCUUGAUUUCUUAUAAAUUAGAGCCAAUUCUCUAUAUAUUUUGGAAAUGAGUCCUUUAUCAGAACCUUUGACUGUAAAAAUGUUUUCCCAGUUUAUUGUUUUCCUUCUAAUCUUGCCUGCAUUAGUUUUGUUUGUACAAAAACUUUUCAAUUUGAUAUAAUCAAAAAUUUCUAUUUUAUAGUCAAUAGUGAUCUCUAGUUCUUCUUUGGUCAUAAAUUCCUUCCUCUUCCACAGGUCUGAGAGGUAAACUAUCCUAUGCUCUUCCAAUUUAUUAUGAUCUUAUUCUUUAUGCCUAGAUCAUGAACCCAUUUUGACCUUAUCUUGGCGGUGUCAAGUGUGGGUCAAUGCCUAGUUUCUGCCAUACUAAUUUCCAAUUUUCCCAGCAAUUUUUGUCAAAUAAUGCAUUCUUAUCCCAAAAACUGAGGUCUUUGGGUUUGUCAAACACUAGGUAAUUAAAGUUAUUGGCUGUUUUGUCCUUUGAACCUAACCUAUUCCAUUGAUCAACUACUCUAUUUCUUAGCCAAUACCAGAUGGUUUUAGUAACUGCUGCCUUAUAAUAUAAUUUUAGAUCUGGUACAGCUAGGCCACCUUCAUUUGAUUUUUUUUUCAUUAAUUCCCUUGAAAUUCUUGACCUUUUGUUUUUCCAUAUGAACUUUGUUGUUAUUUUUUCUAGGUCAUCAAAAUAGUUUUUGGGAAGUCUGAUUGGUAUAGCGCUAAAUAAAUAGAUUAGUUUAGGUAGUAUUGUCAUCUUUAUUAUAUUUGCUCGCCCAAUCCAAGAGCAUUUAAUAUUUUUCCAGUUGGUUAGAUCAGGCUUAAUUUGUGUGCAAAGUGUUUUGUAGUUUUGCUUAUAAAGUUCCUGAUUUUCCCUUGGCAGAUAGUCAAUCUAUUUAUUUAGUGCCAUACCAAUCAAACUGUCAAGAAAGUACUUUAUAGAGCUAGAAAAAAUAAUAACAAAAUUCAUCUGUAGAAACAAAAGAAUUUCAAGGGAAUUGAAAAAAAUGCAAAGGAACAUGGCUUAGCUGUACCAGACCUCUAUAUUAUAAAGUAGUGGACAUCAAAACCAUUUGGUAUUGGCUAAGAAAUAUAGUAGUAGAUCAGUGGAAUAGGUUAGGUUCACAAUACAUAAUAGUCAAUGACUAUAGUAAUCUAGUGUUUAAUAACCCAAAACUCUAACUUCUGGGAUAAGAACUCACUAUUUCACAAAAAUUUCUGGGAAAACUAAAAAAUAGUAUAGCAGAAAUUAGGCACUGACCAACACCUAACACUCUAUACCAAUAUGAGGUCAAAAUGGGUUCAUGAUUUAGACAUAAAGGGUAAUAUUAUAAAUAAAUUAGGAGAACAAGGGAUAGUCUACCACUCAGAUCUAUGGAGAAGGAAGGAAUUUAUGGAUAAAGAGGAAAUAGAGAACAUUAUAAAGUGCAAAGUAGAUAAUUUUCAUUAUAUUAAGUUAAAAAGGUUUUGUACAAACAAAACCAAUGCAGACAAAAUUAGAAGGGAAACAAAAAACUGGUGGUGGUGGGAUUUACAUCCAAUAUUUCUGAUACAAACCUAAUUUCUAAAAUAUAUAAAGAAUUGAUUCAAAUUUAUGAGAACACAAACUAUUAUUCAACUUAUAAAUGGUCAAAGGAUAUAAACAGACAACUUUCAGAUGAAGAAAUUAAAGCCAUUUCCAGUCAUAUGAAAAAAUUCUCUAAAUCACUAUUGAUUAGAGAAAAGCAAAUUAAGACAAUUCUGAGGUACCACUUCACACUUCUCACAUUGGCUAAGAUGAAGGAAAAGAUAAUGAUAAAUGUUGGAGGGGAUGUGGGAAAAUUGAACACUAAUACAUUCUUGGUAUAGUUAUGAACUAAUCCAACCAUUCUGAAGACCAAUUUGGAACUGUGUUCAAAGGGCUAUAAAACUGUGCAUACCUUUGAUCCAGCAGUGUCUCUACUGGGUCUGUAGAGAAUUCCAAAGAGAUUACAAAAAAGGGAAAAGAACCCACAUGGGUAAAAAUGUUUGUAGCAGUCCUUUUUGUAGUGGAAAGGAACUGGAAAAUAAGUGAAUUCCCAUCCAUUGGGGAAGCUGAAUAAGUUAUGGUAUAUGAAUGUAAUAGAAUAUUAGAGUUCUAUAAGAAAGGAUGAGCAGGCUGAUUUCAGAAAAACCUGGAAAGACUUACAUGAAUGAACUGAUGCUAAGUGAAGUGAGUAGAAGAACCAAGAGAACAGUAUACAUAAUAACAAUAAGAAAUGUGAUGAUAAAUUGUAAUGGACUUAGCUCUUUUCAACAAUGAAGUGAUUCAAGGCAAUUCCAAUAGACUUGUGAUGGAAAAGUCAUCCGCAUCCAAAGAGAGGACUAUGGAGAAUGAAUGUGGAUCACAGCAUACUAUUUCCACCUUUUGCUGUUGUUGUUUAUUUACUUGUUUUUAAAAAAAAAUUUCCCUAUUGAUCUAUUUUUCUUGUGCAGCAUGAUAAAUGGACAUAUGUUUAAAAGAAUUGUAUAUUCUUUAUGCAUUAAACUAUAUUGGAUUACUUGCCUCUAGGGGAAGAGAAAAGUAGGGAAAAAGGGAUAAAAAUGUGGAACACAAGGUUUUGUAAAGUUGAAUGUUGAAAAUUAUCUUUGUAUGUAUUUUGAAAAAUA
Long non-coding RNA from Sarcophilus harrisii (Tasmanian devil), 4819 nucleotides. Lineage: Eukaryota; Metazoa; Chordata; Mammalia; Dasyuromorphia; Dasyuridae. The record is from Ensembl.